CCCUUUUCCGGUUGAUCCUGCCGGAGGCCACUGCUAUUGGGAUCCGACUAAGCCAUGCGAGUCGAGAGGGUUCGGCCCUCGGCAGACUGCUCAGUAACACGUGGAUAAUCUACCCUUAGGUGGAGGAUACUCUCGGGAAACUGAGAAUAAUACUCCAUAGGUCUAGGAUGCUGGAAUGCACCUAGGUUGAAAGUUCCGGCGCCUAAGGACGAGUCUGCGGACUAUCAGGUAGUAGUCAGGGUAAAGACCUGACUAGCCUACGACGGAUACGGGUUGUGGGAGCAAUAGCCCGGAGACGAUAUCUGAGACACGAUAUCGGGCCCUACGGGGCGCAGCAGGCGCGAAAUCUUCACAAUGUGCGAAAGCACGAUGAGGGGAUCCCAAGUGUUGGCUCGUAAGAGUCAUCUGUUUCUUUGUCUAAAAAACAGAGAGAGUAAGAGCUGGGUAAGACGGGUGCCAGCCGCCGCGGUAAUACCUGCAGCUCAAGUGGUGGCCGCUAUUAUUGGGCCUAAAACGUCCGUAGCCGGUUUAGUAAAUGCCUGGGUAAAUUGUGUAGCUCAACUAUACGAAUACCGGGUAGACUGCUAAACUUGGAACCGGGAGAGGCUAGAGGUACUCCUAGGGUAGAGGUGAAAUUCUGUAAUCCUAGGGGGACCACCAGUGGCGAAGGCGUCUAGCUAGAACGGGUUUGACGGUGA
Molecule: ribosomal RNA, 698 nt
Filed under: uncultured archaeon
Lineage: Archaea
Description: bacterial SSU rRNA
Rfam family: Archaeal small subunit ribosomal RNA
Source: RNAcentral